AUUUCUCUGUCCUGGUAGAACCAUGUGAUAGUGAACUAAAACAUCACCAUCGAUUCCUUUUCCCAUAUUCUGAUCUUACCUGGAAACCCGUGCUCUCAGAUUUUGUGGGGUUAUCUGGCAGAUUGACAGUGACAACAGUCCCAUCUGGUGAAGGCUUAGGAUAUUAGGAUGUUUCUUAACUUCUUAUUGUUUGAAGAAACAGUUGUGAAUAUAAAUUAAUCAAAAUUAGAGGCCAGGCACAGUGGCUUACACCUGUAAUGCCAGCACUUUGGGAGGCCGAGGCGGGCAGAUCAUCUGAGGUUGGGAGUUUGAGACCAGACUGGCCAACAUGGUAAAACCCCGUCUCUACUAAAAAAAAAAUACAAAAAAAAAAACAAAAAAAAAACUAGCCAAGUGCGGUCGCACGUGUCUGUAAUCCUAACUACGUGGAAGGCUGAGGCACAAGAAUUGCUUGAACCUGGGAGGCAAAGGCUGCAGUGAGCUGAGAUUGCACCACUGCACUCCAGUCUGGCCAACAGAACGAGACUCUGUCUCAAAAAUAAAUUAAUUAAUCAAAAUUAAUUGUCCAGCUUUGAUUUAGAAUCUUAACUGCUAUUACACGUCUCUUCUGUCUACCUUCAAAAAGGUCAUCUAAUACACGGGAGAAACAUGGAUUUUGGAGUAUUUCUUGGGUAAGUAAAAAACACAGGGUCAGGCAUGGUGGUUCACGCCUGUAAUCUCAGCACUUUGGGAGGCUGACACGGGUGGAUCACGAGGUCAGGAGUUCAAGACCAGCCUGGCCAAGAUGGUGAAACCCCGUCUCUACUAAAAACACAAAAAUUAGCCAGGCAUGGUGGUGGGCAUCUGUAAUCCCGGCUACUCGGGAGCCUGAGGCAGAGAAUUGCUUGAACCUGCGAGGCGGAGAUUGCAGUGAGCCGAGAUUGUGCCACUGCGCUCCAGCUUGGGAUACAGAGCCAGACUCCAUCUCAAAAAAAAAAAAAAAGAACACAGAACUGUUUCGUUCUGUAGGAAGAGUAGAUUGUAUUACAUUGAUGAUAAGUAAGUCCCAAGUCACACCCAAAAUGUGAUCAUAAGUGAAGAUAAAUGGAUUACUUGAGUGUUGAGACAAGAGGGACAUGCUCUUCUAUUUUAUGUGUCCAUCUUUACCUUUCUGAAAAAAUAAGAAUGUUGUAAUUAGCAUUCUAUGUUUGAAUCUGAGGCUCACUAUUUAUAAGCUGUGUGAUAAUGGGAGAGUUACCCGACUUCUCUGAGCCUCAGUUUUAUCAUUGGAAAACAGCAUAAAUGUACCAUAUUGUAAAGAUCUUGUUAGGAUUGAUCGUGGUGACUCGGUAGAUAAAGCUCCUAGUGUAAUGCCUGGCCCUCAUCAUCAUGUUCAUCAUUAUUAUCACUGUGUUUCUGAAAUGUCACUGAAACGUGUCUUUUAUAGGUGGAACAUAAAUAAUGAUACCUGGGUCAUAACUGAGCAACUAAAACCUUUAACAGUGAAUUUGGACUUCCGAAGAAACAACAAAACUGUCUUCAAGGCUUCAAGCUUUGCUGGCUAUGUGGGCAUGUUAACAGGAUUCAAACCAGUAAGGAGUCUGUUGUUACAUAAUUAUACGGGUAGCUUUUUGUCCUAUUACUGUUACGUAAAAGUUGAAAUCUAAGAAUAUGAGGACCUAAAGGGAAUAUGAAGCCCCAUUUCACCCCCUUGUACUUCUUGUCAGUAUGAGAUCUCGUGGUAGAGAAGAGUAGAAAGGAAAUGGAGGUUUCUGAGCCUGUUCUGGGAUAAAGAGCAUGUGGCCGGGUGUCAAGGGCUCGGAGUCACAAUCUGAUUUCUAGUCCUGGGUCUUCCGCUCACUUAGGCAAGUCAGGCGUUCAUUCUCUGCCCUUCAGUUUCCUGUCCAAAAAGCGUUGCCAGUGGUACCCCACCUACUUAUCUCACAUACUACAAUCAAAAAUGCUUCGAACUUUUUAAAAAGCCUUGCAUGGUUUUGAUUUAUUUUUGCCUUCCCCAUUACCCAAGCUAGGCCUUUAUAUCCCACUCCGAAGUACAGUGAGCGACAGGGCCUUAAAGCGCAUGGUUGAUGUUUCUGACUUCGUUGCUUUGUCUUUUUCUCAGGGACUGUUCAGUCUUACACUGAAUGAACGUUUCAGUAUAAAUGGUGGUUAUCUGGGUAAGUAGAGCAUUCUCAAGUGAAAUGGGAAUCUCAGAGCUUUUUUAUGAGGAAGGCUGGACUGUGCCUUCUGGUUACAAAGUCCAACCUCUUCCGGUUCCCGACUGGUUACAAAGUCUAACCUCUUCUGGUUCCUGACUGGUUACAAAUUCCAACCUCUUCCGGUUCCCGACUGGUUACAAAGUCUAACCUCUUCUGGUUCCUGACUGGUUAUAUUAGUCCAGCCUCUUCCGGGUCCUGACUGGUUACAUAGUGUAACCUCUUCCGGUUCCUGACAUUGUGUUCAUCUCUUCCAGGUGUUCUAGAAUGGAUUUUGGGAAAGAAAGAUGCCAUGUGGAUAGGGUUCCUCACUAGAACAGUUCUGGAAAAUAGCACAAGUUAUGAAGAAGCCAAGAAUUUAUUGACCAAGACCAAGAUAUUGGCCCCAGCCUACUUUAUCCUGGGAGGCAACCAGUCGGGGGAAGGUUGUGUGAUUACACGAGACAGAAAGGAAUCAUUGGAUGUAUAUGAACUCGAUGCUAAGCAGGGUAGGUGGUAUGUGGUACAAACAAAUUAUGACCGUUGGAAACAUCCCUUCUUCCUUGAUGAUCGCAGAACGCCUGCCAAGAUGUGUCUGAACCGCACCACCCAAGAGAAUAUCUCAUUUGAAACCAUGUAUGAUGUCCUGUCAACAAAACCUGUCCUCAACAAGCUGACCGUAUUCACAACCUUGAUAGAUGUUACCAAAGGUCAAUUCGAAACUUACCUGCGGGACUGCCCUGACCCUUGUAUAGGGUGGUGAGCACACAUCUGGCCUACAGAAUGCGGCCUCUGAGACAUGAAGACACCAUCUCCAUGUGACCGAACACUGCAGCUGUCUGACCUUCCAAAGACUAAGACUCAGGGCAGGUUCUCUUUGAGUCACAAGCUUGUCUUCCUCCAUCUGUUGACAAUUGACAGACUUUUUUUUUCCCCCCAUCAGUUGAUUUUUCUUAUUUACAGAUACUUCUUUAGGAGAAGUAAAACAAUCAUCUAGAAUUCAUUGAGUUUUGUUUCACUUUGACAUUUGGGGAUCUGGUGGGCAGUCGAACCAUGGUGAGCUCCACCUCCGUGGAAUAAAUGGAGAUUCAGCGUGGGUAUUGAAUCCAGCACAUCUGUGUGAGUAACGGAACAGUAAACACUCCACAUUCUUCAGUUUUUCACUUUUACUUACUAUUUGUAUGUUUUUCUGUAUAACAGCCUUUUCCUUCUGAUUCUAACUACUGUUAAAAUUAAUAUGUCAUUAUCUUUGCUGUUAUUGACGGCAAUAUAAUUUUAUUACAUAUGAUUAGAGGGAUGAGACAGACAUUCACCUGUAUAUUUCUUUUAAUGGGCACAGAAUGGGCCUUUGACUCUAAAUAGCACUUUUUGGGGUUCAAGAAGUAAUCAGUAUGCAAAGCAGUCUUUUAUACAAUAAUUGAAGUGUUCCCUUUUUCAUAAUUACUCUACCUCCCAGUAACCCUAAGGAAGUUGCUAACUUAAAAAACCGCAUCCCAGAUUCUGUGAAUUUAGUACAUAAACAAGUCAAAGACUUGUGGAAAAUAGGAAGUGAACUCAUAUUUUAAAUUCUCAUAAGUAGCAUUCAUGUAAUAAACAGGUUUUUAGUUUGUUCUUCAGAUUGAUAGGUAGUUUUAAAGAAAUUUUAGUAGUUACUAAAAUUAUGUUACUUUAUUUUUCAGAAAUCAAACUACUUAUGAAAAUUACUAAUAGAACUUGUUAACCUUUCUAACCUUCACGAUUAACUGUGAAAUGUAU
Molecule: small RNA, 3929 nt
Filed under: Pongo abelii (Sumatran orangutan)
Lineage: Eukaryota; Metazoa; Chordata; Mammalia; Primates; Hominidae
Description: retained intron
Source: RNAcentral